GAUGAACGCUGGCGGCGUGCCUAACACAUGCAAGUCGAGCGAACGGACGAUAAGCUUGUGUCUUUGAUGGUAGCGGCGGACGGGCGAGUAACACGUGGAUCACCUACUUAUAUUACGGGGAUAAUUACGGGAAACCGGAGCUAAUACCGGAUGAUAUUUUGAACCGCAGGGUUCAAAAGAGAAUGACGGCUUUGGUGUCUGUUAUAGAUGGUUCCGCGCUGCAUUAGCUAGUUGGUAAGGUAACGGCUUACCAAGGCGACGAUGCGUAGCCGAGCUGAGAGGGUGAUCGGCCACACUGGAACUGAGACACGGUCCAGACUCCUACGGGAGGCAGCAGUAGGGAAUCUUCGGCAAUGGGCGAAAGCCUGACGCAGCCACGCCGCGUGUGUGAUGAAGGUCUUCGGAUCGUAAAGCUCUGUUGUUGGGGAAGAACAGCUGUGUAAGUAACUGUGGCCGUCUUGACGGUACCUAAUCAAAAAGCCACGGCUAACUACGUG
This 497-nucleotide ribosomal RNA is filed under the name uncultured bacterium. RNAcentral describes it as "partial 16S ribosomal RNA". It matches the Rfam family "Bacterial small subunit ribosomal RNA", at positions 28 to 507 of the family's 1533-position model. The record is from RNAcentral.